This 301-nucleotide ribosomal RNA is filed under the name uncultured bacterium. RNAcentral's name for it is "partial 16S ribosomal RNA". It matches the Rfam family "Bacterial small subunit ribosomal RNA", at positions 509 to 807 of the family's 1533-position model. The record is from RNAcentral.
CAGUCGCCGCGGUAAUACGUAGGGUGCAAGCGUUAAUCGGAAUUACUGGGCGUAAAGCGUGCGCAGGCGGUUAUAUAAGUCAGAUGUGAAAUCCCCGGGCUCAACCUGGGAACUGCAUUUGAGACUGUAUGGCUAGAGUGUGUCAGAGGGGGGUAGAAUUCCACGUGUAGCAGUGAAAUGCGUAGAUAUGUGGAGGAAUACCGAUGGCGAAGGCAGCCCCCUGGGAUAACACUGACGCUCAUGCACGAAAGCGUGGGGAGCAAACAGGAUUAGAUACCCCGGUAGUCCCUGUCUCUUAUAC